UACUGAUGAUUCAGCCUCCAGCCCACAAAUUCGAGUGACAGGAUCUUGCCAUGUUACCUAGACUGGACUUGCACUCUUCUUGCCUCAGACAUUUUCUCCAGCAAGCACACGUGUCCUAUAGCAAAAAU
Tupaia belangeri chinensis (Chinese tree shrew) is the source of this 128-nucleotide long non-coding RNA. RefSeq lists it as uncharacterized. The record is from RefSeq and is a predicted model, not a curated record. The transcript has 3 exons. NCBI's taxonomy places the organism in Eukaryota, Metazoa, Chordata, Mammalia, Scandentia, Tupaiidae.